RNAcentral lists this ribosomal RNA (254 nucleotides) under uncultured bacterium. Its description in RNAcentral is "partial 16S ribosomal RNA". It matches the Rfam family "Bacterial small subunit ribosomal RNA", at positions 524 to 776 of the family's 1533-position model. The record is from RNAcentral.
UACGGGGGGAGCAAGCGUUGUUCGGAUUUACUGGGCGUAAAGGGCGCGUAGGCGGCCAGCACAAGUCAGUUGUGAAAUCUCCGAGCUUAACUCGGAAAGGUCAACUGAUACUGUGCGGCUAGAGUGCGGAAGGGGCAACUGGAAUUCUUGGUGUAGCGGUGAAAUGCGUAGAUAUCAGGAGGAACACCUAUAGCGAAGGCAGCUUGCUGGGACGAUACUGACGCUAAGGCUCGAAAGCGUGGGGAGCGAACAGG